RNAcentral lists this long non-coding RNA (301 nucleotides) under Elaeis guineensis (African oil palm). Its description in RNAcentral is "long non-coding RNA (EGUI_LNC012303)". Lineage: Eukaryota; Viridiplantae; Streptophyta; Magnoliopsida; Arecales; Arecaceae. The record is from RNAcentral.
GUGAUCAUUUCAUAGAGAAGAGUUUUCAUCAUAUAGUUAGAAAAGCAAAAAUUCUUAUAAGUAUAAUUGAAAUUUUUGGCUGGGAAACUAAUGUAGAUAAUUUUUCCCAGAACUUUUUCUUCUUCUUCUCCUUCUUAAUUAUAUAUUCUUCUUCCUCCUCCUCCUCCUCCUCCUCUCUCUUCAUUUUCUUUUCUUUCCCGCCACUUAGAGAGAGUUGAUUUUCAUUUAUUAACCUUUCCUUUUCAACCCCUUUACCCUCAAGAAUAUUACAUUUGAAGAAUCAGAAUACAUAAAGACUAGA